UACAGAGGGUGCAAGCGUUAAUCGGAAUUACUGGGCGUAAAGUGUGCGCAGGCGGCCGAGCAAGUCGAGUGUGAAAGCCCCGAGCUUAACUUGGGAACUGCGCUCGAAACUACUUGGCUAGAGUGUGGCAGAGGGAGGUGGAAUUCCACGUGUAGCGGUGAAAUGCGUAGAGAUGUGGAGGAACACCGAUGGCGAAGGCAGCCUCCUGGGCCAACACUGACGCUCAUGCACGAAAGCGUGGGGAGCAAACAGG
This 253-nucleotide ribosomal RNA is filed under the name uncultured bacterium. RNAcentral describes it as "partial 16S ribosomal RNA". It matches the Rfam family "Bacterial small subunit ribosomal RNA", at positions 524 to 776 of the family's 1533-position model. The record is from RNAcentral.